CAUAUCAAUAAGCGGAGGAAAAGAAACCAACAGGGAUUGCCUCAGUAACGGCGAGUGAAGCGGCAACAGCUCAAAUUUGAAAUCUGGCCUUCUACGGGGUCCGAGUUGUAAUUUGUAGAGGAUGCUUCGGUGUUGGCCCCGGCCUAAGUUCCUUGGAACAGGACGUCGCAGAGGGUGAGAAUCCCGUACGCGGCCGGUGUCCCUCGCCAUGUGAAGCUCCUUCGACGAGUCGAGUUGUUUGGGAAUGCAGCUCUAAAUGGGAGGUAAAUUUCUUCUAAAGCUAAAUACCGGCCAGAGACCGAUAGCGCACAAGUAGAGUGAUCGAAAGAUGAAAAGCACUUUGGAAAGAGAGUCAAAAAGUACGUGAAAUUGUUGAAAGGGAAGCGCUUGCAACCAGACCUGCCCGCGGUCGCUCAUCCAGGCUCCUGCCUGGUGCACUCUUCCGUGGUCAGGCCAGCAUCGGUUCGGGCGGUCGGACAAAGACGGUGGGAAUGUGGCUCCUCUCGGGGAGUGUUAUAGCCCGCCGUGCAAUGCGGCCAGUCCGGACCGAGGUCCGCGCUUCGGCUAGGAUGCUGGCGUAAUGGUUGUAAGCGGCCCGUCUUGAAACACGGACCAAGGAGUCUAACAUCUGUGCGAGUGUUUGGGUGUCAAGCCCGGACGCGUAAUGAAAGUGAACGGAGGCGGGAACCCUAGGGUGCACCGUCGACCGAUCCUGAUGUCUUCGGAUGGAUUUGAGUAAGAGCAUAGCUGUUGGGACCCGAAAGAUGGUGAACUAUGCCUGAAUAGGGUGAAGCCAGAGGAAACUCUGGUGGAGGCUCGCAGCGGUUCUGACGUGCAAAUCGAUCGUCAAAUUUGGGCAUAGGGGCGAAAGACUAAUCGAACUAUCUAGUAGCUGGUUCCUGCCGAAGUUUCCCUCAGGAUAGCAGUAACGUUUUCAGUUUUAUGAGGUAAAGCGAAUGAUUAGAGGCCUGGGGGUUGAAACAACCUUCACCUAUUCUCAAACUUUAAAUAUGUAAGAAGUCCUUGUUACUUAGUUGAACGUGGACAUUUGAAUGCACCGUUACUAGUGGGCCAUUUUUGGUAAGCAGAACUGGCGAUGCGGGAUGAACCGAACGCGGGGUUAAGGUGCCGGAAUGCACGCUCAUCAGACACCACAAAAGGUGUUAGUUCAUCUAGACAGCAGGACGGUGGCCAUGGAAGUCGGAAUCCGCUAAGGAGUGUGUAACAACUCACCUGCCGAAUGAACUAGCCCUGAAAAUGGAUGGCGCUCAAGCGUGCUACCCAUACCCCGCCGCCGGGGCAAGAGUUACGCCCCGGCGAGUAGGCAGGCGUGGAGGCCCGUGACGAAGCCUUGGGGGUGACCCCGGGUAGAACGGCCUCUAGUG
Molecule: ribosomal RNA, 1385 nt
Filed under: Hysterium angustatum
Lineage: Eukaryota; Fungi; Ascomycota; Dothideomycetes; Hysteriales; Hysteriaceae
Description: eukaryotic LSU rRNA
Rfam family: Eukaryotic large subunit ribosomal RNA
Source: RNAcentral